This 61-nucleotide ribosomal RNA is filed under the name Ligilactobacillus salivarius. RNAcentral's name for it is "partial 16S ribosomal RNA". Lineage: Bacteria; Bacillati; Bacillota; Bacilli; Lactobacillales; Lactobacillaceae. The record is from RNAcentral.
AACAAGGUAGCCGUAGGAGAACCUGCGGCUGGAUCACCUCCUUUCUAAGGAAUAAUUACGG